Molecule: non-coding RNA, 226 nt
Organism: Podarcis lilfordi (Lilford's wall lizard)
Lineage: Eukaryota; Metazoa; Chordata; Lepidosauria; Squamata; Lacertidae
Source: the annotation of a GenBank genome assembly
CCUCCGGAACGAAUUAAGUUCUUCACCAGAGGUACCACUGUAAUCUGUAAAUCAGAUGGUUUUGAGGAAGCUUGUGGACGAACUCAUGGCCGGAAGCUUGUGCAACCUGAGACCACCUGGGGAGGUCACUUCGCCACUUUUUGAGGGCUCCCCAGUGGCAUACCGAAGAGCUUGCUUGGUAAGGUAUAUAAUGCUUGCUGUUUAGAAUAAAAUCUUUAAUCUUCUC